CACGUAGGGUGCGAGCGUUGUCCGGAAUUAUUGGGCGUAAAGAGCUCGUAGGCGGUGUGUCGCGUCGGCCGUGAAAACCUGCAGCUUAACUGUGGGCUUGCGGUCGAUACGGGCAUCACUGGAGUUCGGCAGGGGAGACUGGAAUUCCUGGUGUAGCGGUGAAAUGCGCAGAUAUCAGGAGGAACACCGAUGGCGAAGGCAGGUCUCUGGGCCACUACUGACGCUGAGAAGCGAAAGCAUGGGGAGCGAACAGG
This 254-nucleotide ribosomal RNA is filed under the name uncultured bacterium. Its description in RNAcentral is "partial 16S ribosomal RNA". It matches the Rfam family "Bacterial small subunit ribosomal RNA", at positions 524 to 776 of the family's 1533-position model. The record is from RNAcentral.